AACAUCGCGCACCUGCGGGAACCUGCGGAAGGAUCAUCAUCGAAUUGAUAUCCCCCUCCUCUCCCGGAGAGGGACCUAUGAUAAGCCCUUCUGUGCACCGUUAAACCGUUCACUUUGGCAGGCUUUGGUGGUGAGCGUGAGCUCGCCUCCAACCUCGCGUUCCCUCCUCUCUAAGGAGGUGUUACGCGUGGCGGCCUGCCAGAGUCCUCCCAUUAAAAACACGUUUUCGAACACGUCCGA
RNAcentral lists this unclassified non-coding RNA (240 nucleotides) under soil metagenome. RNAcentral describes it as "partial contains 5.8S ribosomal RNA, internal transcribed spacer 2, and large subunit ribosomal RNA". The record is from RNAcentral.